Molecule: ribosomal RNA, 767 nt
Filed under: uncultured Pseudomonadota bacterium
Lineage: Bacteria; Pseudomonadati; Pseudomonadota
Description: bacterial SSU rRNA
Rfam family: Bacterial small subunit ribosomal RNA
Source: RNAcentral
CAAGUCGAACGAGAAAGUUCCCUUCGGGGAGCGAGUAAAGUGGCGCACGGGUGAGUAACACGUAGGUAAUCUACCUUCGGGUGGGGAAUAACGCAGGGAAACUUGCGCUAACACCGCAUAAUGCAGCGGCACCACAUGGUGACAGUUGUUAAAGCGGGGGAUUUUAGGACCUCGCGCCUGAAGAGGAGCCUGCGGCGGAUUAGCUAGUUGGUAGGGUAACGGCUUACCAAGGCGACGAUCCGUAACCGGCCUGAGAGGGCGGUCGGUCACACUGACACUGACAUACGGGUCAGACUCCUACGGGAGGCAGCAGUCGGGAAUUUUGGGCAAUGGGCGAAAGCCUGACCCAGCAACGCCGCGUGAAGGAUGAAAUCCCUCGGGAUGUAAACUUCGCAAGAAUGGGAAGAAUUAGUAGGGGCUAAUACUCCCUAUGAUGACGGUACCAUUUGUAAGCUCCGGCUAACUCCGUGCCAGCAGCCGCGGUAAUACGGGGGGAGCAAGCGUUGUUCGGAUUUACUGGGCGUAAAGGGCGCGUAGGCGGUCAGCACAAGUCAGUUGUGAAAUCUCCGGGCUUAACUCGGAAAGGUCAACUGAUACUGUGCGACUAGAGUGCAGAAGGGGCAACUGGAAUUCUCGGUGUAGCGGUGAAAUGCGUAGAUAUCGAGAGGAACACCUGCGGCGAAGGCGGGUUGCUGGGCUGACACUGACGCUGAUGCGCGAAAGCCAGGGGAGCGAACGGGAUUAGAUACCCCGGUAGUCCUGGCCUU